UUGCUCACUUGGGCAGCACAUAUACUAAAACUGGAACAAUACAGAGAUUAACAUGGCCCCUGCACAAGGAUGGCACACAAAUUCAUGAAGCAUUCUGUAUUUUU
Lontra canadensis (Northern American river otter) is the source of this 104-nucleotide small nuclear RNA. Lineage: Eukaryota; Metazoa; Chordata; Mammalia; Carnivora; Mustelidae. The record is from RefSeq and is a predicted model, not a curated record.